Molecule: ribosomal RNA, 689 nt
Filed under: Corynebacterium callunae
Lineage: Bacteria; Bacillati; Actinomycetota; Actinomycetes; Mycobacteriales; Corynebacteriaceae
Description: bacterial SSU rRNA
Rfam family: Bacterial small subunit ribosomal RNA
Source: RNAcentral
CAGGACGAACGCUGGCGGCGUGCUUAACACAUGCAAGUCGAACGAUGAAGCUUAGCUUGCUAGGUGGAUUAGUGGCGAACGGGUGAGUAACACGUAGGUAAUCUGCCCUGCACUUUGGGAUAAGCCUGGGAAACUGGGUCUAAUACCGAAUAGGACACACUAUCUUUACGGUGGUGUGUGGAAAGCUUUUGCGGUGUGGGAUGAGCCUGCGGCCUAUCAGCUUGUUGGUGGGGUAAUGGCCUACCAAGGCGUCGACGGGUAGCCGGCCUGAGAGGGUGUACGGCCACAUUGGGACUGAGACACGGCCCAGACUCCUACGGGAGGCAGCAGUGGGGAAUAUUGCACAAUGGGCGAAAGCCUGAUGCAGCGACGCCGCGUGGGGGAUGAAGGCCUUCGGGUUGUAAACUCCUUUCGCUAGGGACGAAGAGUUACAUUGACGGUACCUGGAGAAGAAGCACCGGCUAACUACGUGCCAGCAGCCGCGGUAAUACGUAGGGUGCGAGCGUUGUCCGGAAUUACUGGGCGUAAAGAGCUCGUAGGUGGUUUGUCGCGUCGUCUGUGAAAUCCCGGGGCUUAACUCCGGGCGUGCAGGCGAUACGGGCAUAACUUGAGUGCUGUAGGGGAGACUGGAAUUCCUGGUGUAGCGGUGAAAUGCGCAGAUAUCAGGAGGAACACCAAUGGCGAAGGCA